GGGACGAGAAGACCUAUAGAGCUUUACAUUUACUAAAUUAAUUUUUAUUAUUUAGUUAAUUUUUUAAUGUUAAUUUGUGUUGUUUGGUUGGGGUGAUUUGAAGAAUAAUUAAACUCUUCAUUAUUAAAUCAUUAAUUUAUGUUUAUUUGAUCCAUAAUUUGUGAUUAAAAGAUUAAGUUACCUUAGGGAUAACAGCGUAAUCAUUUUUAAGAGUUCUUAUCGAUAAAAUGGAUUGCGACCUCGAUGUUGGAUUA
RNAcentral lists this ribosomal RNA (254 nucleotides) under Oedaleus asiaticus. Its description in RNAcentral is "partial 16S ribosomal RNA". The record is from RNAcentral. Lineage: Eukaryota; Metazoa; Arthropoda; Insecta; Orthoptera; Acrididae.